AAGCUUAUAGCUCAGUGGUAGAGCAGACCGCUCAUAACGGUUUUGUCGUAGGUUCGAUCCCUACUUAGCUUA
RNAcentral lists this transfer RNA (72 nucleotides) under Trieres regia. RNAcentral describes it as "Odontella regia tRNA-Met". It matches the Rfam family "tRNA". From Rfam's summary of the family: Transfer RNA (tRNA) molecules are approximately 80 nucleotides in length. Their secondary structure includes four short double-helical elements and three loops (D, anti-codon, and T loops). Lineage: Eukaryota; Bacillariophyta; Thalassiosirophyceae; Eupodiscales; Parodontellaceae. The record is from RNAcentral.